This 977-nucleotide long non-coding RNA is filed under the name Oryza brachyantha (malo sina). RNAcentral's name for it is "long non-coding RNA (OBRA_LNC002343)". Lineage: Eukaryota; Viridiplantae; Streptophyta; Magnoliopsida; Poales; Poaceae. The record is from RNAcentral.
UGAAAGCUCAGGCUCAGGGAGCCGCUUUGCAAUGCUCCCAUUCUGAUCCUGACAGCUGCAACCGCACAAGUACCACCUAACUCUGCAAUUUGUAACUCAGAAACCACUACCAGAGCAUCCAUCUUACUCUCCUUUCCACGCGCAAGACGAAGAUCUUCGAGUGGGAGCCCGAUGCACAUGGCAGUUGGCACAUUCCUUUUCUUAUAAAUAACAAGAAAAGGUGUUCCUCUCAUUUCUGUUCCCAGGUAAGAUGCAGCAGUGGUUUGUGUGCCAAUGCUUGAUUGUUGAAGCAUCCAGUCUCAAGCUAUAGGUUUUGCAGUGUGUCUGUGAGCAUACAUUGCUUUCAAUCUUGACAUAUCUUGGCGCGCUGACCCUCCUCUUUCUUUGCUCUUGUCAUUACCUGCACAUGGUUGUGGCGUUAUGUGCAUGCGGCAUGCUCUUCGAGAAGAAUUCAACCGAUCUAACAGCAACCUACAACUAGCUACUGUGGAAUCAGAGUGCAAUGGACUGGACUGUGGAUAUGCCUGCAAGGUGGUGCCUUUUUCUUCACGCUUGCCUCCCUAAUGGGGAAAACAGAACUUCCGUUCAACUCCCUGCCUUGAUCAUUCUGCCAGGUACAGUAAGAGAUUGUUAAGGAAACAGUCAACAGAAUGUGAAAGAUUCUUCUGAAACCGUAUCAAAGCGCAAAAGAAAACUUACUGUUCUAUCAGCUUGCUGAAUAGCUGUAUCCAAAGGUUGUCAUAUUAUUCCUUGACACGUUUUUUAUGAGCAGACCUUCGAAACUCCUCCCGUCUAUGAACUUGCAUCAGUAGAUAGGCCAUCAAGUUUUCGGAAGCGUUUUUGAUGUGACUGCUCCUUCAACUACAUUAAGUAUUUAACUACAUUGGCAAAUUGCUCAUGGCAAUUGAACAGAACAACAACGGGUCGGGCAUCUAAAUCAAACGAGCAAUUUUUAUCCUUAAGACUUAAAAAAUAUC